Molecule: ribosomal RNA, 437 nt
Filed under: uncultured bacterium
Lineage: Bacteria
Description: partial 16S ribosomal RNA
Rfam family: Bacterial small subunit ribosomal RNA
Source: RNAcentral
AGCGAACGCUGGCGGCAUGCUUAACACAUGCAAGUCGCGCGGGUGGUUUCGGCCAUCAGCGGCGGACGGGUGAGUAUCGCGUAGGAAUGUAUCCCGAGGUGGGGGACAACCCUGGGAAACUGGGGCUAAUACCGCAUGGGGCCUGUGGGUCAAAGCCUUAGGGCGCCUUGGGAGCAGCCUGCGUCCGAUUAGGUAGUUGGUGGGGUAAAGGCCUACCAAGCCUGCGAUCGGUAGCUGGUCUGAGAGGACGAUCAGCCACACUGGGACUGAGACACGGCCCAGACUCGUACGGGAGGCAGCAGUGGGGAAUAUUGGACAAUGGGCGCAAGCCUGAUCCAGCAAUGCCGCGUGGGUGAAGAAGGUCUUCGGAUUGUAAAGCCCUUUCGGCGGGGACGAUGAUGACGGUACCCGCAGAAGAAGCCCCGGCUAACUUCGUG